GUGGGGAAUCUUGCGCAAUGGGCGAAAGCCUGACGCAGCGACGCCGCGUGGGUGAUGAAGGCCUUCGGGUUGUAAAGCCCUGUGGGGAGGGACGAAUAACACAUACCUAAUACGUAUGUAGAUGACGGUACCUCCUUAGCAAGCACCGGCUAACUCUGUGCCAGCAGCCGCGGUAAGACAGAGGGUGCAAACGUUGUUCGGAAUUACUGGGCGUAAAGCGCGUGUAGGCGGCUUGGAUAGUCGGGUGUGAAAGCCCGGGGCUCAACCCCGGAAGUGCAUUCGAUACUGCCAAGCUGGAGUCCCGGAGAGGAUGGUGGAACUCUCGGUGUAGAGGUGAAAUUCGUAGAUAUCGAGAAGAACAUCGGUGGCGAAGGCGGCCAUCUGGACGGUGACUGACGCUGAGACGCGAAAGCGUGGGGAGCAAACAGGAUUAGAAACCCGAGUAGUCC
RNAcentral lists this ribosomal RNA (449 nucleotides) under uncultured bacterium. RNAcentral describes it as "bacterial SSU rRNA". It matches the Rfam family "Bacterial small subunit ribosomal RNA", at positions 354 to 796 of the family's 1533-position model. The record is from RNAcentral.